This is a non-coding RNA of Mycena amicta, 119 nucleotides long. The record is from the annotation of a GenBank genome assembly. NCBI's taxonomy places the organism in Eukaryota, Fungi, Basidiomycota, Agaricomycetes, Agaricales, Mycenaceae.
CGCCAGAUGGCCGAGCGGUCUAAGGCGCCAGACUAAGGCCAGUUGCAUCUGCAGUACACCUUGUCGAAUAUUCGAUAAUCUGGUCUUUCGGGGCGUGGGUUCGAAUCCCACUCUGGUCA